Molecule: long non-coding RNA, 983 nt
Organism: Homo sapiens (human)
Lineage: Eukaryota; Metazoa; Chordata; Mammalia; Primates; Hominidae
Exons: 3
Source: RefSeq, a predicted model, not a curated record
AGAUUCUCCAUCUCAGAGGCGGAGCAAGAAAUGCUAUCAGCUCCUUCAGACGCUGCCAGACUGUUUACCUACUUCCCUCAAAUCAGUGGGGGUAUAAGCACUAUAAGAGGUAUGUGCCACCACUGUGAGGGGUCCUGGGAUCUCGCCUGCGGUCCCAUUGGCUGCUCAUGUUCUACCUUCUGAUGGAUCACAGGGUGAUCCAGCAGUGGAGGAACCUCCUCCUCAGCAUCAGACUGAAUCGGAGUGUCCCGCCAGGAGGAUGGGCUCAAGGCCGGGCUGACAGCUGUUGCUAAAUCCUGUUCCUGGCUAUUUAUCUGGGCCUCUAAGUGCCCUGCUUGCACCUGGAGGUCCCCCACCCCCAGGUCCUGCUCCAAGCUGUGCACUUGGGCCCCCAGGUGCUCAGCUUGUCCUGGGAGGUCCCUUACCUGUGGAACUGAGCAUGUACUUCCUGCAGUGCUGUCAGAAACGCCCAUCCGACGCUGCCAGCAAAGGUGCAUUCCUUCUUGGUGCUGUGUGCUCGCACACUUGCAGGAGACCUCUCCACUGCCUCCCGCGUUUCCACUGGGGCUCAUCCAAGCAGCACCGCUGCCCCUGGGUACAGCCCGUGCUGCAGCCACAUAGCUGACCCAGGAGCCCUCAGGGGCCAAAGACCUACUCACUUCAUCCUGCCAACGUCGCAAUUGUCAGAAAGGUUCUCAUUCUGUCACCCAGACUGGAGUGCAGUGGUGCAAUCUCGUCUCACUGCAGCUUCAACCUCCCAAUCUCAGCUGAUCCUCCUUCUGCAGUCCCCCAAGCUGGGACUACAGGUGCACAUCACCAUGCCUGGGAUCAAAAUCCAAAUUGACUGUAUGAUCAUCACUGGCAUCUUCCAAAGUUGCUUUCAUCAGAAACUAUGUCCCAGCAUUCCAGCCCCACCACUGUCCCUACCAACCCUUUGAAGCUUCUACUUCUCAAUUUUUCCUCCAUCUGGUCUAUCACCCAUU